This 17117-nucleotide long non-coding RNA is filed under the name Gossypium barbadense (sea-island cotton). RNAcentral's name for it is "long non-coding RNA (GBAR_LNC018994)". The record is from RNAcentral. Lineage: Eukaryota; Viridiplantae; Streptophyta; Magnoliopsida; Malvales; Malvaceae.
UCAGGAGGUAUCAUAAUUAUCAAGAAAUAUGGACCAUAGGAAGAGCAAAGAUUCAAUCCUAUAAUAUAGUAUUCGCAUUAUUGAUACUAACAACAUAGAAAUUUCCAUGAAAAAGAAAGCAUUGCGCAUGAUGAAUUAAGUUCCAUGACAAGGACUGAAGCAAUGACGACAACUGGCCCCUACAACUAUUGCAACAAGACCUUGAAUCCUUUGAUGAGUUCCUUUAAAUUCCUCAGUUUGGAAACCAUAACAUAUAUGCUACCACUAAAUCCUUACCAGAUUAAACAAUGGCCUCAUCCUUAACCAUUUCUGUUAUUCCAGGGGUACUGUGGGCUACCAUCCUUUCUUUUGCUACAACUGUGACAGCAGCAUAUCCAUCGCCAUUGGAGUCCGAAGCCAUAGCUCUGCUAGAAAGCAGGUGGUGGAGUAACCAUAGCAGCAAUACUUCACAAUGUUGCCAGUGGCCUGGUAUAACCUGCAACACUGCUGAAAGCAUCACCCAAAUUAACUUAUCUGAUGCGCCCAACAUUGAGGUUGGAGCUAGAUUUGGGAAACUGAAUUUCUCUUCAUUUCCAAAUCUUGUCCUUCUUAAUCUUAGUGAUCAUCAACUUAGAGGAAAAAUCCCGCAUCAGAUAGGUGAUCUAUCAGCAUUGAAGUACCUUGACUUGUCUUAUUGUGGUUUAUCUGGUGAGUUACCUCCUUCUCUAGGGAAGCUGACCCAAUUAGAAUUCCUCGACAUUUCCUAUAAUGAUAAUAUUAAUGGUUCCAUCCCUCCACAAUUGGGGAAUCUAGAGAACCUUGUGACUUUAAACUUAAGUCAAUGUGGAAUUGUUGGUCCAAUCCCUUCUGCUUUGGGUCAAUUAACCAGUCUCCAAUCUCUGAUCCUUUGGGGGAACCAAAUCAAUGGAUCUAUCCCAUUAGAAAUUGGAUAUUUGAGAAAUUUGACUUAUUUGAGUCUCUCCAACAAUAGAAUUGUUGGUCCAAUCCCUUCUGCUUUGGGUCAAUUAACCAGUCUCCAAUCUCUGAUCCUUUGGGGGAACCAAAUCAAUGGAUCUAUCCCAUUCGAAAUUGGAUAUUUGAGAAAUUUGACUUAUUUGAGUCUCUCCAAGAAUAGAAUUGUUGGUCGAAUCCCUUCUGCUUUGGGUCAAUUAACCAGUCUCCAAUCUCUGAUCCUUUCGGGGAACCAAAUCAAUGGAUCUAUCCCAUUAGAAAUUGGAUAUUUGAGAAAUUUGACUGAUUUGAGUCUCUCCAGCAAUGGAAUUGUUGGUCCAAUCCCUUCUGCUUUGGGUCAAUUAACCAGUCUCCAAUAUCUGCUCCUUUCGGGGAACCAAAUCAAUGGAUCUAUCCCAUUAGAAAUUGGAUAUUUGAGAAAUUUGACUUAUUUGAGUCUCUACAACAAUAGACUUGUCGAUUCAAUACCCAUUACUCUGUACCAAUUAACCAAUUUGGAAAUUUUGGACGUUGAUAAUAACCAACUUCAAGGUUCUAUUCCCCAAGAAAUUUGUAAUCUAGCAAAUUUAACUUCAUUGUACCUCUCCCAAAACAAAUUGACUGGUUCAAUCCCUUCUUGUGUUGGUAGUUUAUCAAAGAUGCUGUACUUAAGCCUUGGUUCUAAUCUAUUAAAAGGUCCUAUUCCCCAAGAAAUUUGUAAUCUAGCAAAUUUGACUUCAUUGUACCUCUCCCAAAACAAAUUGACUGGUUCAAUCCCUUCUUGUAUUGGUAGUUUAUCAAAGAUGCUGGACUUAAGCCUUGGUUCUAAUCUAUUAAAAGGUUCUAUCCCAAAAGAAAUUGGCAAGCUUUUUGAUCUAUCAUAUCUAAACCUUAGCUUCAACCAACUCUCAGGUCCUAUCCCUAUCUUGUCUGCCACUAAGCUUCGCAUUAUCGAUGCUGGAAAUGGUUGUAACAAGAUUUCUCCCGAUCCAUUUGAAGGCAAUAGUGAUUUAUCACCCUAUAUGUGUCCUACUCCACUAACCAAAAUAGCCAACAGCAGCAGAAUUCCUUACUAUAUCAAAACAUUCCUCCCUAUUGCGAUCUUAUUCACAUUCUCCAUUUUAGGAUGUUUGCUAUUUUCACGGUUUAAGCUCAAGAAUAACCAUGUCAGCGUACAACCAACCAAGAAUGGGGAUUUGUGUUCCAUAUGGAACUAUGAUGGAAAGAUAGCAUACGAGGAUAUCGUUGCAGCAACAGAGGAUUUCGACUUCCGAUACUGUAUUGGAGUUGGUGGUUAUGGUAGUGUUUACAAAGCAAAACUCCCUUGUGGUAAAGUAGUUGCUUUGAAGAAACUUCAUCAUUUAGAAGCCGAAAAUCCAACUUUUGACAAGAGUUUCAGGAACGAGAUCAAGUUUCUAUCAGAAAUACGACAUCGAAACAUAGUGAAGCUUCACGGGUUUUGUCUACACCGACGAUCCAUGUUUUUGAUCUAUGAAUACAUGGAAAAAGGGAGUUUGUUCUGCAACCUAAGGGAUGAAGUGAACGCUGUGGACAUGGAUUGGACGAAAAGAGUAGAGAUCAUCAAAGGCAUAGCACAUGCUUUGUCUUACUUGCACCAUGAUUGCUGCCCUCCGAUAGUUCAUCGAGACAUAUCAAGUAACAAUGUUCUUUUAAACUCAAGUUUUGAGGCCUUUGUGGCCGACUUUGGAACAGCUAGAAUGUUGGAUCUUGAUUCAUCUUAUCAGACCAUUAUUGUCGGAACUUGUGGCUACGUAGCUCCAGGUGGCGUUUUCUUUUUUACUUGAUUUACUGACCUUUUCUCUGAACAUAUAGUUGAAUUUCUUCUUACUAAUUUGUGUAGGUAGAACUUGCUUAUACAAUGAUUGUCACCGAAAAAUGCGAUGUUUAUAGUUUUGGAGUGAUAGCACUGGAAACAUUAAUGGGAAAGCAUCCUGAAGAAGUGUUAUCAUGGUUGUCAUCACCAACUUCUUUGGUAAACAUGAAGCUGGUUGAUGUGUUAGACAACCGUUUACCACUUCCAACAAGUCAACUAGUUACACAAAAUCUUGUUCAUGUUGAUACACUGGCAUUCGCUUGCUUAAAUCCACAAACGAAGUCCCGACCAACAAUGAAGGAAGUGUCUGAAUGGUUCCUUUCUCGCCAUACAUCCUUGGGAAUUCCUCUUUGGAUGAUCUCUUUGUUACAACUCAUGAACCGUGAAAUGCAUAUUAAAGGCAAAACUAAAACUUGUGAUGUUUAAAGUCCAUGCGCUUGUUGAUUAGAUAUUGUUUAUCAUGCUCUGAUAAUUUGUUUGUAAACCAUCUCUGGUUUUAUAUAUGAUGGAAUGAAUUGCAAUGUUUAAUAAACCCGUUUAUUCGGUUGCUUUAGAAGACAUAAAUUCUACAAUUUGAUCCAAAUAUUAAGACAUCAUCGCUGGCUGCUUCCUUGAAUUUUGUGCUUCUUUCAAACCAACUCAAAGAUAAAUAACAUAAAAGUAAAUUAAGGGUGAAUCAAAGCAACAAAAUGCAAUCAAUACAUACAUCAAGAAUUCACCUCAGCUAUCUAUAAUUCAUGAAACAAUCUCUCAACUUAUAAAAUGUAAGUGAGACUCCACAGACCUGAUAUCCAAACUCAAAAGCAAUAAAAGGCGUCAUCAGAACCCUGGCAAGUGAAGACGACAAUCUUUUCAAGCAAGGUAGCGAUACAACUUCCUGUCACCUUUAUCCCUCUCCAGGAACUCCCGCUCAAUAAGGGACUCGAUCCGUUUCUUAAUUACAACGGGGUUGGGCAGAAACCGUGACUGUAGCUGUUUUGUGACCUCAGCAACAAUGUUGUUAUGAUCCAGCACACGCCUAGCUUUCAUGAUCCUCACGAUUGCUGCCUCAAUUUGCGGUUUUCGAUCUUCCUCCACUCUCUGCCUAGUUUCUUGAUUUUCAGGUUCCGACUCCCUUUGCGCAGCCACAGUGCCUAUCUUGACCUUGAAGAACUUGCUUGUAUACUUGUCAUUGAAAAGAAAGGUAUCAGUGUCUACUAUGUCCUUGCUCAUAGGUUCUUUCCGAAGCACAUUUUUUCCCUUAACACAGGCAAGAGACUGCAAGCACCUUUUCAAGUCAAAGGUAGGAAUCUCGGUCACCUGCUCAAUCUCCUUAUAGCUUAGUCGAUCAGCAUCGUUGAAGAGCAUAAGGACACACAUCUGGUAUGUGGAAACAUUCAGUUCAUGCUUCUGUCCCUUACCAAAGGUUGCCUUCAAAUCAGCUGUCCCCAUGUUAGUUUGCCAAGACAAUCUCCGUCCGGUAUGGGUACCUAGGUAAUAAUUACGGAAUUUCUCACAUAUUCCCAGAAUUUCAGCAGGAAGUUUGCAUGUAGUAAUAGGUUGAGUUGGCCAAGAUCCAGUUGUCAGAACCUGGACAGAAAGCAUGGGACCAUCCCCUAUAUCCGAACCAUGACUUGCAUGGAAACCUUGCAUCGUAUCUUGUGAUGUCUUCAUAUCUGUGAACAUACCCUCCAACUUUGAGGUGAAUUGAUACCCACACUCUGUUUUGAGCUUAACAAUCAAACUUCUUUCAGCAUCAUCAGAGACGGACUUCCCUGAAAGAAGCCUUUUGGCCAAGUGUUGUUUGUAGUACUUCUCGAAAACAUCUUUCUCUUGAAGGUAACGGAAGAGCAUCAUCACCUUGUCGAGUAACAAUUCCACAUCCUCUUCAGUAACCCCCCUCAAACCUUUUCGAAGCUUAUCAUCAACAAACAAAGAGAUGAACUCUGGAGACCGAGAAUUCAGAUUGAUGAAAUAUUCAAACGAGGAAUUUAAUGCAUUUUGAAAAGUCUUGUCAUUUCUAAAUGCUGAAGUGAUAAUCUUGUCGUAUUUGUCCUUUAAAUCCAACAGAUGUUGCACAAAAUCGACAGGAUCCUUCAGCCUUUCGGGAUCAGUGAGUAACUGCUUACCAGUAUCACGAAUGUAUGAAGUCAUGACAUCUCUGAUUAAAACAAGCCCAUUGGAUACUCGACGAAACAAGUAAUACAUCCUUCCUAAGUCCUCAUAUUUUUCAUCGACAAUCAUAUUAAUCAACCCCGAGUUCUCCAUUUGCACAAGCCUGUGCAUAUGACUUUCAAUCAUCUCCGUUUCUACCACAUUUGUUAUCUUGACUUCACUUCUGGUGUCCAAGUAAUGUGAGACUCUCUCUAUUUCUUCAUUUAGGCGUCUCUCGGCUUUCUUUAGAUACUCCCCACAAUCACAUUACAGUCAUCUUCUAACCCACAAUCAUUUGUGCUAUGAGCUUUUGGGCACUAUUCCGGAUAAAAUGGACGGAGGCAAGAUCGAGAUGGGCUAGUUGCGAGACACACUCCUGGAUCCGGAUGAAGAUUCAACCGAAAUAGAAAGAAUCCGAUAUGCUCGGGCAUACAUUCUUCAGUUAAUUGGAGGUUAUCUAAUGAUAGACUUGUCACGGAGCCGCGUACAUCUAAUAUGGCUGCUGAAACUCGUUGAUUUUAGAGCAGCUGGUGAAUUCAGUUGGGGGUCUACCGUCUUGGCCACAUUAUAUCGGGAGAUGUGCGGGGCGACGUGACCGAGGAGAGUAAAAAUCAGAGGUUGCCUGUCACUACUGCAAUCAUGGGCACGGUUUCGCUUUCCAUUUUUAUGUCCUCGAGUGGACCACCCAUAUACAUUCCCAUUCAUAACGAGGUAAAUUUUAUAUUAGAUUUUACAAUUAUUAUGUAGAUAUUUAAAAAUAAAAGUAUGCUAAAAGUUUAUUUAAUUAGGUGGAACCAUCCGGCAAGUCAUGCUCGAUUACCUACCGAACUUGAAAAUAUACGGCUUCUAUUAGACCAACAGUCGGAAGCACAUGUAAGUAUUAAAUAAAAUUGAUAUUUCCAUCAUUCGCUAGUCGAUUGGUAAAUAGUAUUUAGUAUUUAGUAUUUAGUAUUUAGUAUUAUGUAUAUAACUAAUAUUUCUAUAAUGUUCACAUAGUUUCAAUGGACACCAUACGAGGAUCCGGCAAUUUGGGCAAUAAUUCCGGAUGAGUUCUUACAAAAUCGAAACGCUUGGCACGUGAAAGUCGUGUUGAUCAACUACACGACCAUGGAGCCACACCAGUCAGACAGAGUGCUACGACAGUUUGGAUGUAGACAACUAAUUCCCGUGGAACCUGAGGUGUUUGACGAUCAACACAAAAUCGACCUUCGGCAAUUGAAUACGGAUUGGCCAAGAUACUGGUUCGAGUACAUGGAAAUGUGGGAAGAUCGGUAUGAAUACAUACCUACUCUGGAACCAAUCAUCGUUCCGGAGUUAGUGUGGGUGCUGGAAUACAUGUCAUGGUUUAGGAUUCAUGGCAAGCUGUAUUUACUGACGCCAGAGGAGAGGCAGCGGCAAUUACGUGUCCAAAGGGAAAGGCGCAGGCCUCAAAAUCCAAGACGACAAGACGACGACGCUAGCCCCUCAACGAGGCCUAGACAUUCACCCGGCCCAUCAUCAGAGGUCAUGCAAUCACUAGGCCCAACGAGAGUACCGACACAGUCACCUGACCCAGCAGUCCAACCGAUGAUACCCACGCAACCGCUUUUUCAGAUGAUGCCAGGUGCGUUUCCUAGCCUUUUUAUAUAUCCUAACCCUUAUAUGUAUCCUUUUCCGAGUCCUAAGGCAGGUUGGAGCCAAUGGCCCGGUUCAGCUCCGUUUCCUGUUACGCCGAGUGGACCGCCGAUGUAUAGGUCAGCAGCACACGAGGGAUCGCAAGAGGGGCCGUCGAGGAGCUCUUCUUUUUACCAAUCCCCACCACCGUAUGAGUUUCAAACACCGUCACCGUUGGUGAUGCAAAAACCUCCACAUUCACUAUUCUUUGAAGGUGGAUCAUCGUCCCAACUCCGACAACCAGAUACCCUACCAGAAGAACCAGAAUCCCCGCCACAGGAACCACAACCGCCACCGGAAGCUGGACAAAGGAGGCAUCCAGCGCGUAACCAUCGACGGCCGCCAUGUGGCACUGAAUCCAGCGGGCACAGACAUUGAUUUUUGUAUUUAAAUUUAUUUGUACAAAUAUUUUGAAUAUUUUGAUACUAUUUGAUGUAAUAAAAUAGAAAUUGUUUUGAGUUAUUACUUAAAACCCUAAACUAAUUUCUUAAAAAUUUAUAAAUCUAUAAUUUAUAAUUUAAUUGACAAACCUUAAACCCCAAAACUAAAAACCCUAACCCUAAUCAUAACCCUUAACUUAAAAACUCUAACCUUUAAAUUAAAAACACUAAACCCUAAACCUAAAAACCAUAAACCCUUAAGCUAAAAACCUAACCUUAGACCCUAACCAUUAACCUAAAACACUAACCUUAAACCCUAAACUCAUAAACCUAAAUACCCUAACCCUAAACCCUAAACCCUUAACCUAAAAACCUUAACCAUUAACCUAAGAACCCUAAACCCUUAACCUAAAAACCCUAACCCUCAACCUAAAAACCUUAAACCCUUAACCUAAAAACCCUACACACUAAACUUAAAACCCUAAACCCUUAACCUAAAAAUCCUAACCCUUAACAUAAAAACCUUAAACCCUUAACCAAAAAACCCUAUACACUAAACUUAAAACCCUAAACCUUAAAUCUAAAAACCCUAACCCUUAACCUAAAUUUCAUAAACCCUUAACCUAAAAACCCUAACCCUGAACCUAAAUUCUAUAAACCCUUAAUCUAAAAACCCUAACCCUAAACCUUAACCUAAAAACCUUAACCCUCAACCUAAAAACCCUAACCCUUAACCUAAAAACCCUAAAUGCUUAACCUAAAAACCCUAACCCUCAACCUAAAAACCCUAAACCCUUAACAUAAAAACUCUACACACUAAACUUAAAACCUUAAACCCUUAACCUAAAAACUCUAACCCUUAACCUAAAAACCUUCAACCCUUAAACUAAAAACCCUAACCCUCAACCUAAAAACCUUAAACCCUUAACCUAAAUUCCAUAAACCCUUAACCUAAAAACCCUAACCCUUAACCUAAAUUCCAUAAACCCUUAACCUAAAAACCCUAACCCUCAACCUAAAUACCCUAAACCCUUAACAUAAAAACCCUAACAUAAAGGCUUAAAAACUAUCCUUGUCCCUUAACUUAAAUAUAAUUUGAUAAUUUUACUAACCAUUAAUACAAUUAUCAGUUAAUAACUUUACAUUCACGUAAUGUUAGAUUUGGAAAAAUGUUUUGACUAGUACUAACAAUUAAUAAUUUUAUAUAAUUUUAUAAUUUUUCUAACAAUUAAUACAAUUAUCAAUUAAUAAUUGAAAAAAUAUAAUUAGCAGCAAUUACAUUCAACUAUUGCGAUUAGGGCAUGAUCGACUUGUAUGGCCUAGAUUCCUACACCAUCCGCACAACUUUUGUUGACUGGCUGUUUCUCGGAUAGCCAUAUUGUUGCGUAUUCUAGUCGAGCAAGGUCGACCCCUUGGUUUGCGACGCAAUUUUCUAUCCAGUAACAGCUUAAAAUGAGCAAGAGAUACGGGCAGCCACUUACGUUCAUCUGGGGCCAGUGGGAAAACGUGUCUCUAGAUGUUGUACAUGUUUUCUAAUUUGUACACUUCGUCCACAUAGCUCAUCGGAUCCAGACGGAGAUUCUGACAAGAUACAAUAACAUGAGAGCAUGGAUAACAAAGUGCAUCAAAACUCUCACGGUCGCAAGUCCUAUUUCGCAAGUCUACAUGAUAUUGCCCACCAACAACACUUUGGAGCGGUCUAUCAAACUCUGUCACGCGAAACAAUAAGUUGUCUCAAUCGUGACACACGGUGUGCAUGGUGUUUGCCCGCGCCUUGGCCUUGUGAAUUUCUUAAACUACCUUGCUGCACCAUACAUGGCCUCUCUGCAUCUGGCCUGCAUAACUUGCUGCUCGCUUUGGAAAUAGUGCCACCAAACGAAAAUAUGUCUCUCGCACAACUGAUGUUAUCUGUAGAUGACGCAUUUUUUUAAGAACAGAAUUUAUGCAUUCAGCCAAGUUUGACGUCAUAUGGCCAUAUCGUAGGCCGUCGUCGUAUGCUUGUGCCCACUAUUUGAAACGUAUGUUAAAAGGUAGUACGCCCCUCCUUUGUUAAUUGAACGUAAAAUUGCCAACAUCUCGUGAAAACGGUCUUUAUUUAUUUCAUACCCUACCAAUAUAAGUUCAUAGAGAAUAUUACAUGCCACUUAUACUAAUAAAACUAAUUCAAAUUGACAAACGAAAAACACAAAUAUAGACUAAAUACACAUGUUGGUCACUUGUCGUCAUUCGUUCUUAGAUGGAUAUUGACUGUAGUAGUUGGGAGCAACGUGUCUUAGGCAAUAUCGAUGGUGCGUGCGCUGCCAUAAGCUUCCCUCUCGAUCAAAUGCAACUAGUAUAUCGGUGCCCCGAUCUAAAAUAACACAGAUAUCAGGUUGGGGGCACACAUGCCUCCUUAACCUAGAGAGAAAGAAAUCUCAAUCAUCAGAUGACUCCCCCGGUGUUAUUGCAAAUGCAAUUGGAAGAAUUCUCCCACCGCCAUCCUGUGCCACUGCAAGCAAUAGCCGAUGAGUAUACCUACCAAACAUAAAGGUACCGUCAAUUUGUACCAAUGGCUUACAGUAUGGAAAUGCGUCUCGGCAUUGCUUAAAGGUCCAAAACAGGUGUUUGAACACUCGGCAUCCACGUAGCAAUCGGCCGUUGUAGUACGCAUGUUCCGUUUGAAGGUCUAUGAUGGCACCUGGGACGUACCUCUCUAGCACUUGACACCACUGCCAUAUUUUAUUAUAUGAGGCAUCCCACCCACUAUGCAUCUUCUCCAAUUCCUUUUGCUUAGCUAUCCAAGCCUUGCGGUAAGACGGCGUGUACCCUAUUUGGCUACAGAUAUUGGCAAUUAACACCGGCACUGAAGUCUUGGGAUCUGCUUUUACCGUGGGCAGUAUCAAGCUAGCUAACAUAGCUAAAUCCAUCUUGGGAUGAUCUUGUAAAACACCUAUAAUUGGAGUACAUUAAAUAAUGCAACAUUACAUAAUAAAAGUAUUAUUCAGAAACCGUCAAUAUUGUACCUACAGCACAUGUAUGUGGACCUUUGUACUUUUUAAUCUCCCACAACCCUGUCCUUUUCCUUAACGAGGCGUAGGUUUUCCAUGAACAUGUGCCGUCUUGUACCGCAUACUUCACCUCAAACUUAUCAAAUUUCAAUUUAACGACGUGGUAGUUAACGUCGUUUUUGAUGCUAUGUUGUUUCAAAGCACCAAUAAAACUAUCCUUGUUGGUAAACUGAUUGCCAACUUUAAAUUCACCCGAAUCUAGCCCCGAACUUGUACGAUCACGCAACAGGUGUGGUAGAUCUGGAAACUCUAACGUAUCAUCUGCAGACAGAUCGACAUUAUGUAUGUGGGCUAGAGGUGAGUAUACUCUGAAUCAUGGAUUUUCUUCUUCAAUUGAACUCCUUUCAGCAUCUUCAUGUUCUGUUGGAAUAGGCUCCGGUUCAGAAAAUAAGCCAACUUCUGCACCAUCGGGCCCGAGCUCUCGAGGUGGAUCCACAUUACAGUCAUCUUCUAACCCACAAUCAUCUGCAGCGUACGAGGUCCCCUCACCGGUUGACGUCGUAGGGUGUACAUCAUCCCUUCUUCUGGGCAUUUCAUAACGUCCCCAAUUGGAUGUAGAUUGCCACCCACUAGAACUUGAUGUCGUUCCCUAAUACGUAUUUCUAGCAUCAAACGUCGAGCCACUGACGUACAUAUCCCAUCCACCAACAGAGUGUCUUGCAGGGGAUGUGCAUUCGACACCACUAUCAAAUAUGGGCUAUUCUGUGUUUUGUAACCUGCUAACCCAGUGUCAACUAGUGGUCAUGUAUACAUCUCGAACACCAGUCGCAAGUACAUCAUUUGGCGGUGUAAAUUGUACAUAUAACUCAAUAUAAGGUGCUCCACUAGCAAAAUGAGUCUGCACAAUUGCCUCCAAGUUACGAGCACCUUUUAUGUCGAACGAGUCAUAUGUCACCGGAUCAACAGAAGAACAAAAUCAACACGUGAUAGACAGAACUUUCAUUGGUGUCGUUCCAAAAAUUUUACGCCUAAUUCUUUUACGAAGUUUUGUCAAAUCUAUGUUCUGGUUAAAAACCAGUCGCACCGUAUUCUCCGAUAAAAAAACAACACCAUUCUCGGUAUGGCAAACCUCACCAUCGUAGUAAAUAACAGCACUAAUAUGUUCACUCAUAUUUGAAACUCUAACCUUCUUAGCCUCUCUAAAUUGUUUCUGCUGUGACUUAUGCAUUUUGAGAACAUUUUUUGCCUCAUUUAUAGCCUCAGCCCAAACAUGCUAUUGUAGCAAAAGCGCAUCCACGUGGGCACGAUUUCAUAAAUUCUUCUCAUAAAGCUUUUUUUUGGUAAAUUUAAAAAAAUAGGCUUUUUUUGGUAAAUUGCCCUCAAUUGGGUGCAAAAAGUUCGUAGGGGCUUAAUUGAUUUUUUUCGAAAAAGUUCGACGAUCAAAAAUACCUUUAAGCCCUACUUUAACUAUUGAUAUGUCUUUUUUAAUUAAUUUUACAUUCGUGCAUAGUAUAGGCACACAAUGUACGAGGUGUUUCCACGUAUACAUGUAAAGUGCAUUUUGAUGCCACGAAGGAAUUAGAUAAAAAUGUGAUUGUUAAGUUAGUAAUGUCACCUUCUAGUAAUUGAAAAGAAUUAGAUGCAUUUAGCUAGUAGAGUGUAAUUAUAUUGUAAUUCUUUGUGCCUUGUUUAGUAAUAUAAAUUGUAAUUACACAUUUACAAAUUUUAAAUUGUUUAAAAAGUAUUAAUUAAUAUAAAUAUUUAUCAAUAAUAUCUGAGAAAAAAUUUUAAACAAGUGACAUAAAUUAAAAUCAAAUCAUGUUAUGUUAGUCCAAGAAAAUAACCGACAACAUGAUUACCGAUAAAAAAAAAUAAAAAUAAACAUUAUAUGCAACUUUAUUAUUGCUUUAGCAUUCCAUGUUUGUUGGGUUAUUCCUUUUCUAACAUUUAACAUCUACUUCUUAUCAUCAUCUAUUAGUUCUUGACCAAUUUCUUCAUUGUUGAUACAAGGUACAACAAUGGAGGGGAGUAAGGAGGAGGUAAGGUGGAGUGAGUGGUGGUUUUGUGGAGGCCGGUUCACUUAAAGAGGUGGAGAGCCGAAAAGGAACAAGAGGAUAGGCUGAUUGCUGAAAGUGGAGAUGGCUGCUCAGAGUAACUUUAAGGAUUGGAAAAUCGAUCCAUUCUUCAUCGUUGGAAAGGUAUUUAUAAGAGAGGUCCACUUGUCCAUUAGCAUGACAUGGCAGGAUAAAUGUUCAGUCCCACCAAAUGUGUAAAGGAUAUUCAUGAACAUAAAGGAUAUUCAUGAUGGGCCCCAUUAUGUUAUUCAUUUGAUCAAUACAAGGUUGUUAUGCCCAUGCAAGUCCUAAUGGACUCAAGGAUGUGUUCACACCAAAAAAGGGGGUGCCAAGCCUUUCUAAAGGGUUGGUGCUCCUUUGAUCUUAGUGGAUGGUCCAGUGAGACAUCUUCUUAGGAAAACUCAAUGAGAGGGUUAAUGUUGUCUAUACUAUUGACACGUGUCCAUGUGGCGGGGAUAUAACAUUCAUCAUCUACAUCAAAAUCUGAAUAUGCAUCAUUAAGAUUAUUGAAAUCAUUUUUUUAUUUGUAUCAUUAAGAUUAUCAAGAUCUUUUUUUUUUCAUGUACUAUUUAAAAGUAUUGAUAAUUCCAAUUCCACCUAUAAAUGGAAUUGUGAAGUAUACAACAAGUUAGAACGAUUGAACAUUGUUUUUUGGACUAUAUUGAUGUGGUUUGUUAAUAUGAGAAAUAUUUUUUUAGAACAACAAAUAUCCUCUCAACCACAUUUCAAAGCUUUGAAUAAAGAGUUUGCGAGCUGUGUUUGGUACUUGUGUCUAGCUCUAUUCUUUCAAAUGAUAUCAUACCCCGUGAUAUACUGCAAAAAACCUUUUGCAUUUGCAUAAUCAAUAUCUAUCACAUAAUAUUUCCUAAAAAACAUGUAACAAUUUAAAUGAUUUGUGAGAAAAAUAAAAUAACAGCAAGGUGAUGAUAAUAUUAAUGUAUUUAUGAAGUACAAUUUUGAUCUAUUUUCUCUCUCAAACAUCAUUCUUAGCAUUCUAGUAUUUGAGGCACAAAUCAACUUUAUAAUCCUUCAAUUAUAAUAGUUUUUAUAAAUCUAAUUUGCAGUUUACUAUGUGUUCAAUAAUAAACCAACUUUAUAACCUUUUUAUAAUAUUUCGAUUGCUAUUAUUUCAUGCAAUUUAGAUAAAUAUAUAUAUAAAUUUUAUAAUAUAACAUUUAUAAACAAUGUUUUUAUAAAGUGCUGAAUAGCUUUUAUGGUGCUUAUGUUAAAGUGCUCAAAUAUGUGUCACACAAUAAUAGUAUAAAAAUUAUAACACACGAUUUAUAAGCAUAAUUUGCUAGGUUAAAAUUUGCUUUAAAAAAAUACAGGAGUUAGGUGACAUGGCAAGGGUUUCUCCUACCUUAAUCAAUAAUCGAGGGUUUGAUCCUUACUCUAGGUAUGGAGUAGUUUUAAAACUUGUGGCCAGUAUCUACCCCCUUAAUGGGCUUACAGAAUGUGAAAGAUUAGUUAUCGGGCUUGCUUAGGUAGAUAGAUUGAGAAAUCAAAAAAAAAUUACACAAAAUAUUUUGACUUAUGUGUCUAAUAGCAAAGCAAUUUUGACCCGAUAAGAUAUAUAUAAUUAUACUUAAAAAAAUAUAAAAUAUAUGUCCUAAAAUUAAAAUAUAUUAUUAUAUUAAAAUAUUUUUUGUAAAUUAAAAUAUAUUAUUAUUGCAUUAAAAUAAUUUUUGUAAACUUGUAUAAAAAAUAAUUUCUUAAAUCAUGUACAUGUGUUUAAAAAACUAUAAGGUAAUUAGUAAUUUAUUGUAAUUACUCGCGUAAUUACCCCAACUCUCAACCCCUAAAAAUUGAAUAGCAUAAUUGAGGUGCUAAAAUUACAUUCAAUUUAGUGAACCCACAAAUCACAAUGGUUUUCUAAACACGCCACACAUUUGCAAUAGCAAGUAAUUGCACUCAAAUCUAAUAUUUGCAUGAAAUAUUUGAAUUUAUAUGUCUAAUAGCAAAGCAAUUUUGACCCAAUAAGAAAUAUAUAAUUAUAUUUUAAAAAUAUAAAAUAUAUGUUCUAAAAUUAAAAUACUUUAUUAUUAUAUUAAAAUAACUUUUAUAAAUUUGUAUAAAAAAUAAUUUCUUAAAUCAUGUACGUAUGUUUGAAAAACUAUAAGGUAAUUAGUAAUUUAUUGUAAUUACUCGCAUAAUUACCCAACUCUCAACUCUCUAAAAAUUAAAUAGUAUAAUUGAGGUGCUAUAAUUACAUUUAAUUUAAUGGACCCAUCAAUAACAAUAGUUAGUCAAACAUACUAUACUUUUAUAAUAGCAAUUAAUCACACUCAAAUCUAAUAAUUAAUUUAUAUUGAAAUCUUCAAAAUCAUAUACUUUGUGGUCCAAGUUAAACUGAUUUUUUUUUUCAAAACAAUUGCAAAGAAAAUUCAUGAAAUUAAGUUGUUUUCAAAUAAUUAAUUCACAUUGGGAUUUUCAAAUAAAAUGUCACAUUAAUAAUAUUUCAAUCAUUAAAAUAUUAUGUAAGACAUUUUGCUUAUACAAGAAAUAUGAAAAAUUCUAAAAUUUAAUCCAGUUUAAUCUGCUGAAGGAAAUGACUCUAACACUGACCUAAUUCAAUUAAGCCUCUGAAAUUAGCUUAACUUCAUAAAACUUAAUCCAGUUUAGUCAUUCUAAAGUCUCUAAUUUUGUUUAAAAGAGUUUUUAAAUAUAUAAAUGAUUUUAAAUUUGUAUGUUUUAAUAUGAAAUUCAUUAUAUUGUAGUAAGAUUUAAUGUGGCAUGUUUAAAAUUUUAAUUUAACUCAAAUAAUUUCAUUUAAUUUGGCUCGACUCAAAUUUUAUUUCACUUGAUUCGAUUUGAAAAAAAAUUCAAAUUGAAUUAGAAUGAUAAAAUGAGACUCGUCAACUCGAAAUUAUUUUACUCGAUUCGAUCCAACACUCACCCUUAGUAAUUGCAUCAUUGAUACUAAUAACAACAUAAAAAAUGUAUACUUAUCUUUUCUAAUCAAUAUGCAGGCACGAAAUGGAAAUUUCCAUGAGAAAGAAGUAUAUCGCGUAUGAAAAAGUAAGUUCCAUGACAUCGGCUGAAGCAAUAACAACAAAUGCAAAAAGACAUUGACUCCUAUGGAAAUCCAUCAGUUUGGAAACUAUAACGUAUAUGCUACGACUCGGUGUUUUUUGGUGUGUCACCCGUUAGACUUUCAAUUAUGUUGGUAAUAAAUAUAAUCUAUUUCAAUUAAAAAAAUGAGUAGAAUUUAGUAAUUCAUUAUGACCCAAAUUAUUGGUGAAGUUAAAAUUAAAAUUUUUUCGACAAAAACUUUCAGUACUUAGUACUUAUGUGUAAUUCAAAUCUUUCCAUUAUAUAUCCCAAAUAAGUUAAAAGGCAUGGCGUGGUGUCUACCUUUGCUUAUCCAUGUCAGACUUGCAAUUCUUUAUAUUAACCUUAAUUAUCGGCCUUCAUAAAAAGAUGUGUAAUUAUACAAGUCAAGAGCAAAAAAGAUAUGUUCUCUCAUAUCACUUGGAGUGAUGAGUCCUUUCUGAACCACUCCAUCACCUUCGUAUGUCAUACCAUAUUUAAAACAUUACUUUAAGCACCUAUCAAUGUGAAUCCAUUUGGUGAUGAAUCAAAGUAUGACGGUUAACACAUAAGGAGAGUUUGUGUAAGUCUAAAGAUUGUUUACACUACCAAUACAUGAGACUAUUUCUAUAGGCAUUUGAGUGAAAUACCAAAUGGAACUAUCAUAGCAGGUCAAGUUAUAUUUUAUAAUUUUUUCGAAACUUUUUAAAAAUUAUUCACAUUUUAUUUUUUAUAUUUGUAAUAAAUUUUAUAAUUUUUAUAACUUUUACAUUUUUAAAAUAUUCUAAUAACUUGACAAGCAACAUCAACAUACUUCCACAUGGCAUGUCACAUGUCAACUUGUCAUAGCUUCCGCCAACCACAUCAACAACCAAUAUUGAUAAAAUCAGUCAACAACCGUUUUCGUUAGCGAAAGGAGCCAAUUGAUUUUUUUCUCAUUGAAUGCUCGAUUGGGUCAAUUUUUUUAUUAUGAACUUGAUUGAUUUUUAACUUUUUACUAAGGUGUUUUUUACACUUUAACCUUAUAUUAAUAUUCAUUAUUUUAUUAAAAAACUUAUUUCUAAGUAAUUUUUCCGACCGAAUUGAUAUCGGAUUAACUCCAAUAAAAUAUAUUAUAUAAACAUAUUAAAAUAUAUCAAUAAAGAAAACACCAUUAAUUUGUUUGAAGUCUCGACUUUUUGAGUCUUAAUGGGUGAGAAAUUUCUUAUAUAGAAACUGAAGACGAUAUAUAAAGUAAAUGCCACAUUAAAAGCCCAAUUCUUUGGAAAAUAAAUUCCAUCACGACUGAACCAAAAAUUAAAAUAAAAUCUAUCAUAUUUAAUAUAUUAGUCCAAGAAAAUAAUCGAUAAUAUGAUUACUAAUAAAAAUAACAAGAAAAAUGAUUUAUGUUAGGUUAUAACAAUAUUUUUUUUUUUUUGAACAAUGAGAUUUUGACCUAGACUAUUCCUUGAAAAGGUGAAUACUCGACUAAUAGGCCACAACUUAAAAUUUUUUAAAUUAUAACCAUUUUUAUAAUACAUGAAUUAGGUUUAAAAUAGUAUAAAAUUUAUAAUAUAUACCAACUAUAUAAAAAAUUAUUUAUAAGGUGUCCAAUAACUUCCAAAACACUUCUUAUAAAUAAUAAAUAUUUUUAUCUUAAAAAGUUUUUUUUUUUAAAUAAGUCAUGGAAAAAAAUUAUAAUUGUUUUAUAAAUAAGUAUAUUUUUUUGUAUAACAUAUAGUAUGGACACAUAAAUAAGUUAUAUUUAAAUUUUUUGACCAUAACUUUUUUUUUUAUAAAUAAGUAUUUGCAUAAUAUAGUAUUUGCAUAAUAUAAUGUUUGCAUUAUUGAUACUAACAACAUAGAAAUUUCCAUGAAAAAGGCCUUGAAUCCUUUGAUGAAUUAAGUUCCAUGACAAGGACUGAAGCAAUGACGACAGCUGGCCCCUGCAACUAUUGCAACAAGACCUUGAAUCCUUUGAUGAGUUCCUUUAAAUUCAUCAGUUUGGAAACCAUAACAUAUAUGCUACCACUAAAUCCUUACCAGAUUAAACAUGGCCCCAUCCUUAACCAUUUCUGUUAUUCUAGGGGUACUGUGGGCCACCAUCCUUCUUUCC